CCAACAGGGAUUGCCCCAGUAACGGCGAGUGAAGCGGCAAAAGCUCAAAUUUGAAAUCUGGCCCUUUCAGGGUCCGAGUUGUAAUUUGCAGAGGAUGCUUCGGGUGCGGCCCCGGCCUAAGUUCCUUGGAACAGGACGUCAUAGAGGGUGAGAAUCCCGUCUUUGGUCGUCGGCCCGCGCCCGUGUGAAGCUCCUUCGAAGAGUCGAGUUGUUUGGGAAUGCAGCUCUAAGCGGGUGGUAAAUUUCAUCUAAAGCUAAAUAUUGGCCGGAGACCGAUAGCGCACAAGUAGAGUGAUCGAAAGGUUAAAAGCACCUUGAAAAGGGAGUUAAACAGCACGUGAAAUUGUUGAAAGGGAAGCGCUUGCGGCCAGACUCGGGUGCGGGGUUCAGCGGGCGCGUGUCGCCCGUGCACUCCCCGUUUCCCGGGCCAGCAUCAGUUUCGACGGCCGGUCAAAGGCCUCUGGAAUGUGUCGUCUCUCGGGACGUCUUAUAGCCAGAGGUGCAAUGCGGCCUGUUGGGACUGAGGAACGCGCUUCGGCUCGGAUGCUGGCAUAAUGGCCGUAAGCGGCCCGUCUUGAAACACGGACCAAGGAGUCUAACAUCCACGCGAGUGUUCGGGUGUCAAACCCGUGCGCGCAGUGAAAGCGAACGGAGGUGGGAGCCUUAGGGCGCACCAUCGACCGAUCCUGAAGUCUUCGGAUGGAUUUGAGUAGGAGCGUGGCCGUUGGGACCCGAAAGAUGGUGAACUAUGCCUGAAUAGGGUGAAGCCAGAGGAAACUCUGGUGGAGGCUCGCAGCGGUUCUGACGUGCAAAUCGAUCGUCAAAUUUGGGCAUAGGGCGAAAGACUAAUCG
Molecule: ribosomal RNA, 852 nt
Filed under: Ctenomyces indicus
Lineage: Eukaryota; Fungi; Ascomycota; Eurotiomycetes; Onygenales; Arthrodermataceae
Description: partial large subunit ribosomal RNA
Rfam family: Eukaryotic large subunit ribosomal RNA
Source: RNAcentral